Oryzias melastigma (Indian medaka) is the source of this 298-nucleotide long non-coding RNA. RefSeq lists it as uncharacterized. The record is from RefSeq and is a predicted model, not a curated record. Lineage: Eukaryota; Metazoa; Chordata; Actinopteri; Beloniformes; Adrianichthyidae. The transcript is spliced from 3 exons.
AUUUAGCUGAGGAGGUCCACUUUUUUGACAAAAUAAAGGAUAUUUUGGACGAAAAGAAGACAAAUCACCAAAUCUUGAUUCACCUGCAGCGUGUCGCAGAGGAGAAAUACAUUCAUUCACAUGGAUUGAAGUAGAAUUUGCUGAUCUGACAUCUGUUAAUCUCAAGACUACUUUCUUCAAUGGGCUGGAUCAGUAUCUACCAGGGCUACUAGACCUGUACGAGGCCACGGCUGGGACGCUAGCUGGACUGAGCAAGCUGUUCUGAAGUAAGUUUACUUCGGCCCAAUCCGAAAUUCUU